ACGAACGCUGGCGGCGUGCCUAAUACAUGCCAGUAGAACGCUGAAGAGAGGAGCUUGCUCUUCUUGGAUGAGUUGCGAACGGGUGAGUAACGCGUAGGUAACCUGCCUUGUAGCGGGGGAUAACUAUUGGAAACGAUAGCUAAUACCGCAUAACAAUGGAUGACACAUGUCAUUUAUUUGAAAGGGGCAAUUUCUCCACUACAAGAUGGACCUGCGUUGUAUUAGCUAGUAGGUGAGGUAAUGGCUCACCUAGGCGACGAUACAUAGCCGACCUGAGAGGGUGAUCGGCCACACUGGGACUGAGACACGGCCCAGACUCCUACGGGAGGCAGCAGUAGGGAAUCUUCGGCAAUGGGGGCAACCCUGACCGAGCAACGCCGCGUGAGUGAAGAAGGUUUUCGGAUCGUAAAGCUCUGUUGUAAGUCAAGAACGGGUGUGAGAGUGGAAAGUUCACACUGUGACGGUAGCUUACCAGAAAGGGACGGCUAACUACGUG
RNAcentral lists this ribosomal RNA (496 nucleotides) under uncultured bacterium. RNAcentral's name for it is "partial 16S ribosomal RNA". It matches the Rfam family "Bacterial small subunit ribosomal RNA", at positions 29 to 507 of the family's 1533-position model. The record is from RNAcentral.